UAUGGCGACCGGCGCACGGGUGAGUAACACGUAUCCAACCUGCCGAUGACUCGGGGAUAGCCUUUCGAAAGAAAGAUUAAUACCCGAUGGCAUAGUUCUUCCGCAUGGUAGAACUAUUAAAGAAUUUCGGUCAUCGAUGGGGAUGCGUUCCAUUAGGUUGUUGGCGGGGUAACGGCCUACCAAGCCUUCGAUGGAUAGGGGUUCUGAGAGGAAGGUCCCCCACAUUGGAACUGAGACACGGUCCAA
This 246-nucleotide ribosomal RNA is filed under the name uncultured bacterium. RNAcentral's name for it is "partial 16S ribosomal RNA". It matches the Rfam family "Bacterial small subunit ribosomal RNA", at positions 87 to 334 of the family's 1533-position model. The record is from RNAcentral.